This 74-nucleotide transfer RNA is filed under the name Markhamia cauda-felina. RNAcentral's name for it is "tRNA-Glu". The record is from RNAcentral. Lineage: Eukaryota; Viridiplantae; Streptophyta; Magnoliopsida; Lamiales; Bignoniaceae.
UGCGCAACGGUUGAGCGAUGGAGGAGAGCAAAGCUACCUUGAGGUUGGUAGCUGAUGAAAGCCUUUAGGUGGAA